RNAcentral lists this ribosomal RNA (449 nucleotides) under uncultured bacterium. Its description in RNAcentral is "partial 16S ribosomal RNA". It matches the Rfam family "Bacterial small subunit ribosomal RNA", at positions 354 to 796 of the family's 1533-position model. The record is from RNAcentral.
GUGGGGAAUCUUCCGCAAUGGACGAAAGUCUGACGGAGCGACGCCGCGUGAGUGAAGAAGGCCUUCGGGUCGUAAAGCUCUGUCAUCAGGGACGAACGGCCGGUGGAGUGAAAGCCACCGGAUUGACGGUACCUGAGAAGGAAGCCACGGCUAACUACGUGCCAGCAGCCGCGGUAAUACGUAGGUGGCAAGCGUUGUCCGGUAUUAUUGGGCGUAAAGCGCGCGCAGGUGGGAUCUUAAGUCCAUUUUUAAAGUUCGGAGCGCAACUCCGUGAUGGGAUGGGAACUGGGAUUCUUGAGGACCGGAGAGGAAAGCGGAAUUCCCCGUGUAGCGGUGAAAUGCGUAGAUAUGGGGAGGAACACCAGUGGCGAAGGCGGCUUUCUGGACGGUGUCUGACACUGAGGCGCGAAAGCCAGGGGAGCGAACGGGAUUAGAUACCCGGGUAGUCC